UACGGAGGGGGCUAGCGUUGUUCGGAAUUACUGGGCGUAAAGCGUGCGCAGGCGGUAAGUUAAGUCUGAUGUGAAAGCCCCGGGCUCAACCUGGGAAUGGCAUUGGAAACUGGCUUGCUAGAGUGUGGCAGAGGGGGGUGGAAUUCCGCGUGUAGCAGUGAAAUGCGUAGAUAUGUGGAGGAAUACCGAUGGCGAAGGCAGCCUCCUGGGAUAACACUGACGCUCAUGCACGAAAGCGUGGGGAGCAAACAGG
This 253-nucleotide ribosomal RNA is filed under the name uncultured bacterium. Its description in RNAcentral is "partial 16S ribosomal RNA". It matches the Rfam family "Bacterial small subunit ribosomal RNA", at positions 524 to 776 of the family's 1533-position model. The record is from RNAcentral.